Long non-coding RNA from Gadus chalcogrammus (walleye pollock), 1287 nucleotides. RefSeq lists it as uncharacterized. The transcript has 3 exons. NCBI's taxonomy places the organism in Eukaryota, Metazoa, Chordata, Actinopteri, Gadiformes, Gadidae. The record is from RefSeq and is a predicted model, not a curated record.
UCGACAUCACGACUCUCUUGUCAAUGGUUAGCGUUAGCGGUUGCAAUCGCUGUAGCCAACAAGUCAACUAGCAAUGAAUUACAACUUCAAACGAAUAACCGGAUCAAUCAUCUUCCCCUUCAUAUAUCCACUACUAAUAAGUUACUUUUCGCAAAGUCCAGUCCUUACCUAGGCACGACGGCAUGGUUUAUCAGGCCACGUGACAGCCAAGAAACAUUGCUAGUAUCGUGAUCAUUGAUAAUAAUCCAAAGUGAUAUGGCUGAGCUGUAAUUGAGUGAGGGGAGAUGAGGAAGAACUCAUAGGACAUGAGCUGUUUAGGGAACAUAGAGUUAUCCAAAGAUGUGUAAGGAGUGGGUUGGUUUCUUCCCUGGUUACCUCAGUCGCAGGACUGCAUGUUCCUUCGUCUAGGAUCAACAACAUCAAGCAACCACCUACAGCAUCCUAGUAACCGCCUCCACCAUCCCAACAACACCCCAGAAAUCUCCAAGUGGUGCCCCAGAAUCCACCAAUAGGACCAUGUCAGAGGACAAUCAUCACAAAUUCAAUGAAGGCUGGUGGCAGAAGUGACGCAGUAGCUUUCUACUGGGCAGUGUAUUUUUUUUAGUCAAAUUUGUGUGCUUUCAAUGUUGGAUAAUCUGUAAAUGAGGAGAAUUUUGAUUUCAUCAUUGAAGCAGAUGUGUAAGAUUGCUUCAGCCUUUUAGCAGAAGCCUGGAGAUUCUUGGGAUGGUAAAUCAUGUUGUUUGGCUCAGAGUGCUUGGAACUGUGAAGGAAAUGUAAAUUACACAACUUGAAAGUGUCAUAUUUAUUUAGAUUGAUUAAAUGGGAAUGGUUUCAGAUGGAGAGCCAGAGAAAGCCGGGCCUUAAUAGAAGUUCAUUCAUGGGGUAAUUGCUCAUUAGUUUUAAUUUCCAGCCAAUUAGCUGCUUGUGUCAAACAGUGGGAAGAGCCUGUUCUUGCCAUGUGGAUGUCUCCUCCAAUCAGAAACACUGUUUUAAAGCUCCCGGGAUAAAAACGGAGCACAAUGAUUGGCUUAUACAAAGGCUCAAUUAGCUUAUUUAAGUAGUGCUGUUAUUAUCCCUCAUCCAGUUAGCACUAAAUGUAGUUUAAUGUUGGAGUGCAACAGUACUAUUGGCAUCCAUUAAUAAAACCUCAUACUUGAUACAUAUGUCUAUCUCUCUCACUCUCACACAAUCACUCUCACUCACUCACUUCCUCUAGAUUCUCCAUGGAUUUCCUGCAAUGGUUCUACAGCUGGAAAAAUAGACAGGGCACUAUUGUAGCUACUACUA